GCGGGGACCCGCACAAACGGUGGAUUAUGUGGAUUAAUUCGAUGCAACGCGAAAAACCUUAGUUACCCUUGACAUGUCUGGAAUCCUGAAGAGAUUUAGGAGUGCUUGCAAGAGAACCGGAACACAGGUGCUGCAUGGCUGUCGUCAGCUCGUGUCGUGAGAUGUUGGGUUAAGUCCCGCAACGAGCGCAACCCUUGUCAUUAGUUGCUACGAAAGGGCACUCUAAUGAGACUGCCGGUGACAAACCGGAGGAAGGUGGGGAUGACGUCAAGUCCUCAUGGCCCUUAUGGGUAGGGCUUCACACGUCAUACAAUGGUCGGGACAGAGGGUCGCCAACCCGCGAGGGGGAGCCAAUCCCAGAAACCCGAUCGUAGUCCGGAUUGCAGUCUGCAACUUGACUGCGUGAAGUCGGAAUCGCUAGUAAUCGCGGAUCAGCAUGUCGCGGUGAAUACGUUCCCGGGUCUUGUACACACCGCCCGUCAGCACCAUGGGAGUGGGUUUUACCAGAAGGUCAGUUGAUGCCUAACCGCAAGGGGCGCGAUACCACGGUAGAUACUUCGU
RNAcentral lists this ribosomal RNA (561 nucleotides) under Achromobacter sp. VB-MITS 012. RNAcentral's name for it is "bacterial SSU rRNA". It matches the Rfam family "Bacterial small subunit ribosomal RNA", at positions 913 to 1474 of the family's 1533-position model. The record is from RNAcentral. Lineage: Bacteria; Pseudomonadati; Pseudomonadota; Betaproteobacteria; Burkholderiales; Alcaligenaceae.